RNAcentral lists this ribosomal RNA (495 nucleotides) under uncultured bacterium. RNAcentral's name for it is "partial 16S ribosomal RNA". It matches the Rfam family "Bacterial small subunit ribosomal RNA", at positions 28 to 507 of the family's 1533-position model. The record is from RNAcentral.
GACGAACGCUGGCGGCGUGCCUAAUACAUGCAAGUAGAACGCUGAAGGAGGAGCUUGCUUCUCUGGAUGAGUUGCGAACGGGUGAGUAACGCGUAGGUAACCUGCCUGGUAGCGGGGGAUAACUAUUGGAAACGAUAGCUAAUACCGCAUAAGAGUAGAUGUUGCAUGACAUUUGCUUAAAAGGUGCAAUUGCAUCACUACCAGAUGGACCUGCGUUGUAUUAGCUAGUUGGCGGGGUAACGGCUUACCAAGGCGACGAUACAUAGCCGACCUGAGAGGGUGAUCGGCCACACUGGGACUGAGACACGGCCCAGACUCCUACGGGAGGCAGCAGUAGGGAAUCUUCGGCAAUGGACGGAAGUCUGACCGAGCAACGCCGCGUGAGUGAAGAAGGUUUUCGGAUCGUAAAGCUCUGUUGUAAGAGAAGAACGAGUGUGAGAGUGGAAAGUUCACACUGUGACGGUAUCUUACCAGAAAGGGACGGCUAACUACGUG